Molecule: ribosomal RNA, 468 nt
Filed under: uncultured bacterium
Lineage: Bacteria
Description: partial 16S ribosomal RNA
Rfam family: Bacterial small subunit ribosomal RNA
Source: RNAcentral
GACGAACGCUGGCGGCGUGCUUAACACAUGCAAGUCGAACGGAAAGGACCUGCUUUUGUGGGGUGCUCGAGUGGCGAAAGGGUGAGUAACACGUGAGUAACCUGCCCUUGACUUUGGGAUAACUUCAGGAAACUGGGGCUAAUACCGGAUAGGAGCUCCUGCUGCAUGGUGGGGGUUGGAAAGUUUCGGCGGUUGGGGAUGGACUCGCGGCUUAUCAGCUUGUUGGUGGGGUAGUGGCUUACCAAGGCUUUGACGGGUAGCCGGCCUGAGAGGGUGACCGGCCACAUUGGGACUGAGAUACGGCCCAGACUCCUACGGGAGGCAGCAGUGGGGAAUAUUGCACAAUGGGCGGAAGCCUGAUGCAGCAACGCCGCGUGCGGGAUGACGGCCUUCGGGUUGUAAACCGCUUUCGCCUGUGACGAAGCGUGAGUGACGGUAAUGGGUAAAGAAGCACCGGCUAACUACGUG